UACGGAAGGUGCGAGCGUUAAUCGGAAUUACUGGGCGUAAAGCGCACGUAGGUGGUUUUAUAAGUCGGAUGUGAAAGCCCCGGGCUUAACCUGGGAAUUGCAUCCGAGACUGUCUGACUAGAGUAUGCUAGAGGGAAGUGGAAUUCCAGGUGUAGCGGUGAAAUGCGUAGAUAUCUGGAGGAACACCAAUGGCGAAGGCAACUUCCUGGGGCAAUACUGACACUGAUGUGCGAAAGCGUGGGGAGCAAACAGG
This 253-nucleotide ribosomal RNA is filed under the name Chromatiales bacterium. RNAcentral's name for it is "partial 16S ribosomal RNA". It matches the Rfam family "Bacterial small subunit ribosomal RNA", at positions 524 to 776 of the family's 1533-position model. The record is from RNAcentral. RNAcentral also lists the same sequence under 1 other name. Lineage: Bacteria; Pseudomonadati; Pseudomonadota; Gammaproteobacteria; Chromatiales.